UACAGAGGUCCCAAGCGUUGUUCGGAUCCACUGGGCGUAAAGGGUGCGUAGGUGGUUAGGUAAGUCUGAUGUGAAAUCUCUGGGCUCAACCCAGAAACUGCAUUGGAUACUAUCUAGCUAGAGGAGUGGAGGGGGGACUGGAAUACUUGGUGUAGCAGUGAAAUGCGUAGAUAUCAAGUGGAACACCAGUGGCGAAAGCGAGUCCCUGGACACUUCCUGACACUGAGGCACGAAAGCUAGGGGAGCAAACAGG
Molecule: ribosomal RNA, 253 nt
Filed under: uncultured bacterium
Lineage: Bacteria
Description: partial 16S ribosomal RNA
Rfam family: Bacterial small subunit ribosomal RNA
Source: RNAcentral